AGCAGUAGCCGCGGUAAUACGAAGGGUGCAAGCGUUAAUCGGAAUUACUGGGCGUAAAGCGUGCGUAGGCGGUUUGUUAAGUCUGUUGUGAAAUCCCCGGGCUCAACCUGGGAAUGGCAAUGGAUACUGGCAAGCUAGAGUGUGUCAGAGGAUGGUGGAAUUCCCGGUGUAGCGGUGAAAUGCGUAGAGAUCGGGAGGAACAUCAGUGGCGAAGGCGGCCAUCUGGGACAACACUGACGCUGAGGCACGAAAGCGUGGGGAGCAAACAGGAUUAGAUACCCCUGUAGUCCCUGUCUCUUAUAC
This 303-nucleotide ribosomal RNA is filed under the name uncultured bacterium. RNAcentral describes it as "partial 16S ribosomal RNA". It matches the Rfam family "Bacterial small subunit ribosomal RNA", at positions 507 to 807 of the family's 1533-position model. The record is from RNAcentral.